CCCUUAGAUGUUCUGGGCUGCACGCGUGCUACAAUGGCGCUUGCAACAAGUCUUGCCAACCCGAUAGGGUGAGCGGAUCUUUGAAGAGGCGUCGUGAUCGGGACAGUUGAUUGCAAUUAUUCGACUCGAACGAGGAAUUCCUUGUAAUCGCGAUUCAUCAUAUCGCGCUGAAUACGUCCCUGCCCUUUGUACACACCGCCCGUCGCUCCUACCGAUUGGAUGGUCCGGUGAAGCCUCGGGAUUGUGGUUCUUGCCGCUUUAUUGUGGCGUGACCGCGAGAACUUGUCUAAACCUUAUCAUCUAGAGGAAGGUGAAGUCGUAACA
Molecule: ribosomal RNA, 324 nt
Filed under: uncultured eukaryote
Lineage: Eukaryota
Description: partial 18S ribosomal RNA
Rfam family: Eukaryotic small subunit ribosomal RNA
Source: RNAcentral